Molecule: ribosomal RNA, 253 nt
Filed under: uncultured bacterium
Lineage: Bacteria
Description: partial 16S ribosomal RNA
Rfam family: Bacterial small subunit ribosomal RNA
Source: RNAcentral
UACGUAGGUGGCAAGCGUUGUCCGGAUUUACUGGGCGUAAAGAGCGCGCAGGCGGUCGUUCAAGUCGAGUGUGAAAGCCCCCGGCUCAACUGGGGAGGGUCACUCGAUACUGAUCGACUCGAAGGCAGAAGAGGGAAGCGGAAUUCCCGGUGUAGUGGUGAAAUGCGUAGAUAUCGGGAGGAACACCAGUGGCGAAGGCGCCACUCUGGGCCGGUACUGACGCUGAGGAGCGAAAGCGUGGGUAGCAAACAGG